Molecule: transfer RNA, 76 nt
Filed under: Ruminococcus sp.
Lineage: Bacteria; Bacillati; Bacillota; Clostridia; Eubacteriales; Oscillospiraceae
Description: tRNA-Gln
Rfam family: tRNA
About the family: Transfer RNA (tRNA) molecules are approximately 80 nucleotides in length. Their secondary structure includes four short double-helical elements and three loops (D, anti-codon, and T loops).
Source: RNAcentral
UGGGACUUAGCCAAGCGGUAAGGCAGCGGACUUUGACUCCGUUAUUUCGCGGGUUCAAAUCCCGCCGUCCCAGCCA